CCGGGAACUCAAAGGAGACUGCCAGUGAUAAACUGGAGGAAGGUGGGGAUGACGUCAAGUCAUCAUGGCCCUUACGACCAGGGCUACACACGUGCUACAAUGGCGCAUACAAAGAGAAGCGACCUCGCGAGAGCAAGCGGACCUCAUAAAGUGCGUCGUAGUCCGGAUUGGAGUCUGCAACUCGACUCCAUGAAGUCGGAAUCGCUAGUAAUCGUGGAUCAGAAUGCCACGGUGAAUACGUUCCCGGGCCUUGUACACACCGCCCGUCACACCAUGGGAGUGGGUUGCAAAAGAAGUAGGUAGCUUAACCUUCGGGAGGGCGCUUACCACUUUGUGAUUCAUGACUGGGGUGAAGUCGUAACAAGGUAACCGUAGGGGAACCUGCGGUUGGA
Molecule: ribosomal RNA, 392 nt
Filed under: Escherichia coli
Lineage: Bacteria; Pseudomonadati; Pseudomonadota; Gammaproteobacteria; Enterobacterales; Enterobacteriaceae
Also listed under: 2 other names
Description: bacterial SSU rRNA
Rfam family: Bacterial small subunit ribosomal RNA
Source: RNAcentral